This 346-nucleotide ribosomal RNA is filed under the name uncultured bacterium. RNAcentral describes it as "partial 16S ribosomal RNA". It matches the Rfam family "Bacterial small subunit ribosomal RNA", at positions 338 to 681 of the family's 1533-position model. The record is from RNAcentral.
CCUAGGGGUGGCAGCAGUGAGGAAUAUUGGUCAAUGGACGAGAGUCUGAACCAGCCAAGUAGCGUGAAGGAUGACUGCCCUAUGGGUUGUAAACUUCUUUUAUAGGGGAAUAAAAUGUAGCACGUGUGGGAUUUUGUAUGUACCAUAUGAAUAAGGAUGGGCUAACUCCGGGCCAGCAGCCGCGGUAAUACGGAGGAUCCGAGCGUUAUCCGGAUUUAUUGGGUUUAAAGGGAGCGUAGGUGGCUUGUGAAGUCAGUUGUGAAAGUUUGCGGCUCAACCGUAAAAUUGCCGUUGAAACUGGCAGUCUUGCGUACAGUAGCGCUGGGCGGAAUUCGUGGUGUAGCUG